Molecule: ribosomal RNA, 70 nt
Filed under: Pectobacterium brasiliense
Lineage: Bacteria; Pseudomonadati; Pseudomonadota; Gammaproteobacteria; Enterobacterales; Pectobacteriaceae
Description: partial 23S ribosomal RNA
Rfam family: Eukaryotic large subunit ribosomal RNA
Source: RNAcentral
UCAGGUAGGAUUACCCGCUGAACUUAAGCAUAUCAAUAAGCGGAGGAAAAGAAACCAACCGGGAUUGCCU